Erpetoichthys calabaricus (reedfish) is the source of this 474-nucleotide long non-coding RNA. RefSeq lists it as uncharacterized. The record is from RefSeq and is a predicted model, not a curated record. The transcript is spliced from 2 exons. NCBI's taxonomy places the organism in Eukaryota, Metazoa, Chordata, Cladistia, Polypteriformes, Polypteridae.
AAACACAAUGAUUCAAUCAACAAGGUUUAUGAAAAAAUUAAAUGAAAGAACUAUAUACAUACAAUAAAUAGAAAUCAAACAACAAUCCAAGAAAAAAUAACAUGAAAUAACUAUAUACAUACAAUAAAUAUAACAUGAAAUAACUAUAUACAUACAAUAAAUAAAAAUCAAACAACAAUCCAAGGUUUAUAAAAAAAUAACAUGAAAUAACUAUAUACAUACAAUAACUAAACAAAUAAAUAUCAAACAACAAUUUUUGCAAUAAAAAAAUAACUGUCAGUGCCAUAACCUGCAGAUGAAGCCCAAAAUUAAAAAAGAAAAUUGAGAGGAGGAGGCCUGCCAACAUAUAAAGUGCCAGUCAUUUGCAAAAAUUGAAAACAAAAAAAGUUAAAACAGCUUGAAAAAGGAAGGAGGCAUCCUUGACAACAUAUAAAGUGCCAGUCAUUUGCAAAGAUUGCCAAAAAAAAGUAAAAA